Molecule: long non-coding RNA, 9243 nt
Organism: Anolis carolinensis (green anole)
Lineage: Eukaryota; Metazoa; Chordata; Lepidosauria; Squamata; Anolidae
Exons: 2
Source: RefSeq, a predicted model, not a curated record
GGGGGGGGGGGGGGUGUGGCUCAAUGCUGCAAAAUCACUCAGUGCUGCUUCACUGAUGGUGAGUGUAUGAAAGGUAUUGUAAAAUAAAAUACAUUGAUAUGUACCCUUGCUACUUUUCAUCAUAUAGUAUAGUGAUGGAUGAAUCUUAAAUGUCAGGUAUGUGUUGUCGAAGGCUUUCAUGGCCGGGUUCACAGGGUUGUUGUAUGUUUUUAAAGUAAUGCUCUUUCCUUCUUCUAUGGCUAAUUUGUUAUAAAUUCUUUGAUGUGGGCCAACUUUACUUAUCAGGAUAUGUGGUUAAAUAGUGUUUCCUACCACAAGAUACAGGGCUUGUCACUAAUAUAGAAGGAUGUAAAAGGGGAGAGGACACCUUCGUAGAAUAGGACAACUUUCAUUGGAUACAGGUUGAGAAUCCCUUAUCCAAAAUGGUUGGGACUAGAACUGUUUUGGCUCUUGGCUUGUUUUUUAUUUUGGAAUAUUUGUAUAUACAUAAUAAGUUAUCUUGGAGAUGGGACCCAAAUUUGAGCAUGAGAUUGGUUCAUGUUUCGUAUGCACCUUAUUUACACUGCUUGAAACAAAAUUUGUGUACAUUGAAUAAUCAGAAAGCAAGGUGUCACUGUCCCAGUUACCUAUCUGAACACUUUUGGACUUUGCAAUUCCAGAUAAAGGAUAUUCAACCCAUAUUAAUAUUUUCUCCAUUGUUAGAGUGAUAUGUUUCUGAAUAAUACUUGUGAAGCAUGAUCAGGAGGAUGGUUUUGUCCCCAUGUCUUCCAAGUGGCAUCUUGUUCCCACCAUGGUUAGAUUGACAUGUGGACUAAUUGAGAAGAGCUUUUUUUAUUUUGUUGUGAAUUAUGAGUCUCUGCCAUAAUCUUGGAAGUCAAUCUUUGCUAAAAUGUGGGAUAUAAACAAGUAAUAAUGUGCAUACAGUGCCAUCAAUUGUGAGUACUGAGACUGUGUGCACUCUGAGACUUGGUUUUUCUCUGUGGUUCCUGUUCACUUGUCAAUAUUGACAAUACAUUGGCCACCACUACCUUUAGAGCGGAUGGUGCUGUAAUCCCACUCUCCCUUAUGUUCUUUCAUUCACCACCCAUUAUAAAGGGUUGUAGAUUUGCCUAUGUGCUGCCAGUGCAUUGCAUUCUAUCUUGCCUGCUGCUUCUGUCUUGAACCAGAAAGAUUUGUGUUCUGCUUCAGCGCUACAGUUUGUUCAAUUCAGCUCACACUCAAAUAUUUUGAAACAUUUCAACAAGCUAUCAGAAUACUGCCAUGUACAUUUGGCUGGGAUCUAUUAAUCUACAUGUCAGUAUUUUGAUAGCUUGCUGAAAUAUUUUAAAAUAUUAAUACUGAUAUAAGAAGAACUGGACAUUUUAAAGUAGCGGUGCUUAAAGUAAGUGCUAAUGUCCAGUAAACAGAAUAAAAAAAAGUCAGUAUUCACAACAACUUUGCUUAAAACACCACUACCUUCAGGACUUUAGUCUGUGGAAUAUUUUCAAUGUACAGUAGUCUCACUUAUCCAAGCUAAAUGGGCCAGCAGAAGCUUGGAUUAGCAAAUAUCUUGGAUAAUAAGGAAGGAUUAAGGAAAAGCCUAUUACACAUCAAAUUAGGUUAUGAUUUCACGAAUUAAGCACCAAAACAUCAUGUUAUACAACAAAUUUGACAGAAAAAGUAGUUCAAUACGCAGUCAUGUUAUGUUGUAAUUACUGUAUUUACGAAUUUAGCACCAAAAUAUCACGAUAUAUUGAAAACAUUGACUACAAAAAUGGCUUGGAUUAUCCAGAAGCUUGGAUAAGCGAGGCUUGGAUUAGUGAGACUCUACUGUACUUGAAAGACUGCAAAUGAACUGCAAGUGUGCUAUUAUUGCACUGUGCAUAUUAUGAUAUUUGUCAGAAAUAUAUUGGGUAUACUGUGACAUGCUAGAAACAUAAAUCUUCCAUAUUGUAUCCACAGUUGAAUUUUGCUGUUUUAUGUAUCAUGCUAUGUCACAUUUGAGUUCUGCCAUAUUGUAGGUAAUUUCUAUUAAGAGCUUGAUGCUAUUAUAACUAUAAAUGACAGGUGUUUCCUAGUUUGUCCGUUGAUGCUAAGAUUAAUCCAAGGAAUGCUUCCAUGAAGGUAACUAUCCCAUUACUCUGCCACUUGGGUGCUGCACUGUAUUAGAUCCCCCCCCCUCCCCCGACCAUUGUGCAUUGUUGUUGGUGGGGGGUUUUUUACCAAAAAAACUUUUCAAUUCUGAAGCAGUUUGCUUGCAGAUUAACUUUUAAAAUAAAUUAUGCUGUCCUGAAUAAGAGUCUUUUUGUUGCAUAAUAAAGACUUUUUACCAUGACCUGUCAGAUGGUGAAGAUCUAGCCCAAGUACAUUGAUACUAGAAGGCUUGAUCAUCAGGUUUGCAGACGACACCAAAUUGGGAGGGAUAGCCAAUACUCCAGAAGUUAGGAGCAGAAUUCAAAACAAUCUUAACUGAUUACAUAGUUGGGCCAAAACUAACAAAAUGAAGUUCAAUAGGGACAAAUACAAGAUACUCCACUUAGGCAGAAAAAAUGAUGCAAAGAUACAGAAUGGGGGAUGCCUGGCUCGACAGCAGUAUGUGUCAAAAAGAUCUUUCCUCGUGGGUAGGAAAGUGAACAUGAUCCAACAACGUCAUGUGGCGGCUAAAAAAGCCAAUGGGAAUUUGGCCUGCAUAAAUAGAAGUAUAGUGUCUACAUCCAGGGAAGUCAUUCUACCCCUCUAUUUCGCCUUGGUCAGACCACACCUGGAAUAAAGGGUCUAAUUCUGGGCACCGCAAUUUAAGGAAGAUGUUCACACACUAGAAUGUGUCCAGAGGAGGGCGGCAUAAAGAUUUGGACAUGUUUAGCCUGCAGAAGAGAAGGCUGAAAGGAGACCUGAUGAGGGCCAUGGAUCAGGAUGUGAGGAGAAGUCAUAGGGAGGAGGGAGCAAGCUUGUUUUCUGCUGCCCUGGAGACUAGGGCAUGGAACAACAGCUUUAAACUACAGGAAAGGAGAUUCCACCUGAACAUCAGGAAGAACUUCCUAACCGAGCUGUUCAGCAGUGGAACUCUCUGCCUCGGAGUGUGGUGGGGGCUCCUUCUUUGGAGGCUUUUAAGCAGGGGCUGGAUGGCCAUCUGUCGGGGGUGCUUUGAAUGCGAUUUUCGUGCUUCUUGGCAGGGGGUUGGACUGGAUGGCCCAUGGGGUCUCUUCCAACUCUAUAUAACCCUUUGUUCCCUUAAGGCAGAGGUGUCAAACACCUGGCCUUCCAACUCCCAGAAGCCCUAGCCAGCUUGUCCAAUGCCCAGGAAUUCUGGGAGCUGAAGUCCAAAACACCUGGAGGGCCACAGGUUUGCCAUCACUGCCUUAAGGGAAGGGUUCAUCUGAAGAUUACUUUGUUUUAAUUUUUUGAGGUACAAAUUUGCGCUACACAUUUGACACAAACUUUCAACAGACCAUUCAGUGACUUGUAGUUAAGACACUGCCAUGUUCAUGACAGGAAUCACUAGCAGGCCAUAAUGUCCAGGUUAACUAAAGUGAUGAGAAUACCUACAUUGGAAUAAAGUAGGAAUACCUAUGUUUUGAGGUUCCUUUAUUAAAGGGUUAUGUCAAGUUAUUUUUAAAAGUCGUAGGAAGCUGAAUAGAUUGCUUGAAGCUCAACAUCAGUGGAUACACCCUAGGUUUAAAAUGACCCCACCCUAGUCCAGCUUUUAGUUAUAUCUCUGUUUUGCUUCUCCACCCUACAUUCCAUUUUCCCCAAGAUCUAAAGCUAGCUGUCUUCCCCCCAUGAAAAUAGCCUGUCUUGCUAUAAUUUAACUAUAUAUUUGAAGCCCAUCUCCUCUAUUUUGAGUACUUACCUGGCUUGGCUUAAUUAUUUCCUUAAGCUAGAGAGUAUACUAUUCAUCAAUAUAUAUGUAUAUGUAUAUUAAAAGAAUCUAUGCCACAAGGGUAUUCUGCAUAGUUUUGGCAGCUUUCUCCCAGUGAAGAGAAACAUACAGUAGUAAUAUUACUUCUUGGAGUCUCAUUUGAGAGAGGAAAGUGGAAAAUAACAACAACAGUAGCAGCAGCAGCAGUUUGCAUUGUGAGGACAAUGGUUAUAAAAUUUAUAUCACUUAACAUCACUCUUUUCCAGUUAUAUACAUUUUUAAAAAAACAUGCAAACCCCAAAGUAAACAUUUUCCAUUAAUAACAUGGAAACUAAUUUUGUUGCCUUGGAAAUAUUCUUUAAGAAUAUAAGAGCAAAAAGUUAUGUCUAGUAGAACUUUCUGUUCAUUUAGGAGUCUUAUUGGAAGCCUCCCAGUAGAAUACAACUGCAACUUUGAUCCCACUGUCUUUUGUUUUUUUCAAGUUUUAAAGCCUGAGUAUAUUUUGUUAACUGUUUUGUUUUGUUUUUUUGUUUGGUGAACCUAACAGUAAGUUUCUCUGAAAUCUGGAUUGUUGUUUGCUUUAAUCAUUUUGAGCCUGCUAUUGUAACUCCUUCACCAGACCGCAUUGUAUUUGCUUAUUAACCUAUUUUUUAUUAUAUUUAUAGAAGAAAAUAUACAUGUACUAAAAAUUGGAUAAAUCAUAUGAUGAAAAAUCCACACAAUUAUUAUAUUACCUUCAUGUAAACUAAGCUAGCUAAAUAUAUAUCAAAAACUACAAAUAAUAAAAUAAUAAAAAUAUUACUUCCUAUUAUCUUUUCUGCAGUUAUUUUUUAAAAAUAUUACUUUAUUUAUGUAAAACACCCCAACAGACAUUUUAGAUAUACUAGCUGUGCCCAGCCACGCGUUGCUGUGGCGUUGUCUGGUGGUGUUGGUGAGAAAUGUGAGUUAGUGGUGGUAUUGAAUAUCUGUUGUAUGGUUGUCUUUAUGUUUAGUAUGUAUUUGGUUGUUUGUGUAAUGUGAAAGUGGUGAGAGUAGAGGGGGUCGCUGUGUAGUAUUGUAUAGUAUGCAUACUAUAUGUAUUUAUUGGAUUGUUUUAAAUUGAUUGUUUUAAUUGCUAUGUUUAUUUUUGUACUGUAUACCGGCAUCGAAUUUGCCAGAUUGUGAGCCGCCCUGAGUCCCUUCGGGUGAGAAGGGCGGCAUAUAAAUGGUGGAAAUAAAUAAAUAAAUAAAUAAAUACAUUGUCCAAGUGUUGUGAAUGGUUAGAUUGUGUCUUGGUGCAUAGUAGAAAGGGUUGGGGUGGAUGGCCGUUAGGGGUGUGUCCAAAUUAUUGGAUGGUAUAGUUCUAUGAUUAUUAUUAUUAUUAUUAUUAUUAUUGUUGCUGUUAUCAUCAUGAUUAUUAUCUUUAUUAUCAUCAUUAUUAUUAUAUAGUGGGUGGAUGGCCAUCUGUCAGGAGUGUUUGGAUUGUGUGGUCUUGCAUGGUAGAAGGAGGUUGUACUGGAUGAUUCUUAGGGCUGUCUGCAAACAUAAGGAUUCUGUGAUAUUAGUAUUGUUAUUAUCAAGAGGCUGUAUGGCCAUAUGUUGGGAAUGUUUGAAUUGUGUUUUCCAUGGCAGGAAGGGGUUGGACUGGAUGGGCUUUAGGGGUCUCUCCUAUGUCUGUGACUGUAGGAUUCUAUUAUUAUUUUUAUGGUGGAGAUUGUGGAGAUAUUGGAUGGCCAUCUGUCAGGAGUGUUUGGAUUGUGUGGUCUUGCAUGGUAGAAGGAAGUUGUACUGGAUGAUUGUUAGGGCUGUCUGGAAACAUGAGGAUUCCAUGAUAUUGUUAUUAGCAUUAUCAUUCUCAAGAGGCUGUAUGGCCAUCUGUUGGGAAUGUUUGGAUUGUGUUCUCCAUGGCAGGAAGGGGUUGGACUGGAUGGGCUUUAGGGGUCUCUCCUAUCUGUGUGACUGUAGGAUUCUAUUAUUAUUUUUAUGGUGGAGAUUGUGGAGAUAAGCACCAAAACAUCAUGUUAGACAACACAUUUGGUAGAAAAAGUAGUUCAAUAUGCAGUAAUGUUAUGUUGUAAUUACUGUAUUUACGAAUUUAGCACCAAAAUAUCAUGAUAUAUUGAAAACAUUGACUACAAAAAUGGCUUGGAUAAUCCAGAAACUUGGAUAAGCGAGGCUUGGAUAAGUGAGACUGUACUGUAAAUAAUUCGGAUAAUGGGCGGGCGCUAGGACCCAGGGGACAGCUUUUUCCCAUUGCCUGCCUUCCCUCUUGCCGGCAGCCAUGAGGGCUUCUCUUUUCCCUCCCUGGCAUGGCUCCCGAUGGUGCGUUGUGGGUUCUGUCCAUGUGGAGGUGCGUGACAUGAUUUUGUGUUGUUUCAACCUGAAGGCGUGGAUGAUGGGUUGUGUUGUCAAAUUUCGAGGUUGGGGGGCCUUUACUUUUGCUGUUUUGCUCGGUGCCGCGAUUCCAUAACCCUUUUAUAUAUAUAGAUAAGAAUUUUCUAUGGUUAUGUUUUUACUCAAAAGCUCUUUUCAUCAAUAUACUUAACUCAUUCUGAUUGAUUAGGCCAACAGUCAUAAAAUCUGUCUUUUUGUUUCAAAAAUUCAUUUACUAAGUGGUACAUGAAGCAUACAAGAACCAUUAAAACUAUAUUUAAAAAGCUUAAUGUUCAGAUAAUUAAGGGAAUACACUGUGUUUAAUAACAAACUACAGUUGGAAUUCUAAAACCCAGGAGUCUCAUUAGUGAUCAAUUUAAAGGUCUUGCAAUACAGGAAAAUCCAUCCCAGUGACCUAAAACUAAGAGGAACAUAAUAGGCCUCCUUAUAAACUCCAAAGUCUACCUUCAAAAAUAAUCCUAGUUAAACAACUAAAGACAGAACUAUCUGCAAGAGCUAAACUCUUAGCAGCGCUUCCUGAACAGAUUUUAAUAAUCGAAGAAGCUCUUUUUGAAGCAGAUGCUCUUCUGAGUAGGGAUAAUAGGCUAAAUCAAAUUAUACAAACUACAGUAGACCCGUUGAAUCCCUGUAACUCAAUUAAACUGGGCGUUAUCAAGUUUUACUCUGGUUGGGACUGUAAUUGCAGUUAGGUCUGUCUUUGUUUUAUUGGCCUACUGUACUAUUGGUACCAGAGAAGGAUUAAUCUGAGUUUGGUUCCUGAGCUAACAAAUAUUUAUUAGUGCUAAUUUGGACAACAAACAUAUUUUAUUUUAGACUGCAUGUUUUAUUUUGAUCAGUGGUUCUCAAACUGUCAGUCCCCAGGUGUUUGGCCUACAACUCCCAGAAAUCCCACAGAUUGUGAACCACUAAUUUAGAUCUUAGCAAUUGUGCAGUAUCCCAUAAGUUUGGAAGGAAUAACAAUUAUAAAAUAUGCAAAGUCAUUCUCACCACACAGAAUACUUCUCAUACUGCGAGUGUAAAAGUGAAAUGAUCAAGGAAACAUGAGGCAAUUGAGAUAUUUUUAAAAGGGUUGAUGUUGGUGUUCCUCAGCACAUGUAAAAAAUACCACCAUGCCUCCCCUACAUACUUGCCUAUGUUCAAGAUUAACAGCAUCAAGGAGAACUUCCUUUUAAAUUAAGCUGCAUUUCUUUAUAUAUAUAUUUUUUAUAUUACAGCUUGAAUUUACAUUAUUGUUUUCUCGUUUUGAUUAUAGUAAGCAGGAACAUUAUUUUUACAUGGAAAUUUUCCUUUAAGGUUAUUAAAGCUGGGAUUCUAAUUCCUGACCCUGACUCCUUGCUGUGGCAGAUGGAGGAGGGUUUUCAGUUUGUAUUCCUGCCAUGUCUCAGAUGCAGCUCCCACAAUUUAAUUAAGUUUUUCAUUUAUCUGUGUCAACUUCUAUCAGCAUUGUAUCAUAGUUCAUGGACUUGCCCUUCUUCAUUCUGCAGCAGUAAAUUUAAUCCUGGGCAGUAUAGUUCUUGGUUCAUCAGCUCCAUGAUGUGGAUGUGGAAAGGGAAUUCUGAGACAGAUUUACAAAAAUCUGAAAAUAUUUUGCUGCCCAACCACCUGAUUGAUUGAUAUUUACUAGACAUUUGAAAAAUGUUUGUCUGCCAUUUCUUAAUGGAAACACAGUGAUCUAGUUAUAAGGUUCUUGGAUGAGAUGGAUUACUCUAGAUUCUUUUCAAUCCAGUAUGCACGCUGCUCAUUGGACUGAGUAAGGUUUGGUUGCUUGCUUGGAAACUAGGAGAUGUUCUAGCCUAAUUCUUAAAUUUUAACAGCUUACAGACAGGAGCCCCAGUGGCGAAGUGCGUUAAAUCACUGAGCUGGAGACCGAAAGGUCCCAGGUUUAAACUCCAGGAGCAGCGUGAGUGGCCACUGUUAGCUCCAGCUCCUGCCAACCUAGCAGUUCGAAAACAUGCCAAUAUGAGUAGAUCAAUAGGUACCUCUCCGGCGGGAAGAUAAUGGCGCUCCAUGCAGUCAUGCCGGCCACAUGACCUUGAAGGUGUCUACGGACAACGCCGGCUCUUCGGCUUAGAAAUGGAGAUGAGCACCAACCCCCAGAGUCAGACAUGACUGGACUUAACGUCAGAGGAAACCUUUACCUUUAUCUUAGACUUGCAACAUCUAUCUCGUUGGGCACAGACCUCCUGUUUGAUUUAAUUGGGCUGCCUUCCACAGAUGUAAUUAUUGUAGCUGUAAAAUACUGACAAUCUUAACUUGUAUACCACUGCAAGGAUGUGACUUGACCAUGGUGGUCCAUGCUCUGGUUACCUCAAGGAUGGAUUACUGUAAUGCGCUCUACGUGGGGCUGCCCUUGAAGAUGGUCCGGAAACUGCAGUUGGUACAACGGUCGGCAGCUAGGUUACUAACUGGAGCUGCUUACAGGGAGCGGUCAACCCCCCUGUUCAAGCAGCUCCACUGGCUGCCAAUAAUAUUCCGGGCCCAAUUCAAGGUGCAGGUUAUUACCUAUAAAGCUCUAAACGGUUCGGGACCUGCCUAUCUUCGUGACCGCGUCGUCCCCUAUGAACCCACCCGAUCGCUGAGAUUCCUCCUCUCACUUCCACCCUCCUCACAACUGCAUUUGGUAGGGACGAGAGAGAGGGCCUUCUCGGCCGUGGAUCCCCGACUCUGGAACUCCGUCCCCAGGGAGAUUAGGUUGGCUCCCUCUCUACCUUCCUUCAGGAAGCAGCUGAAGACGUGGAUGUUUCGACAGGCCUUCGGAGAUAGUCAUUAAUUAAUCAGCCCCAGUGGGUUUUUAAUAAUUUAUCCUGUUUUUAUUACGGUCUUACCAUUUAUGUGUUUUAAAUGAAAUUUUUAUCUUAUAUUGUUGUUUAUAUUGAUAUAUUGUAUUAUUGUUUUAUCUUUUUAUAUUGUGAUUGUAUUGUGUUGCUUAUAUUUUGUUCUUAUGUUGUUUGGGCCACUGCCCCAUGUAAGCCGCCCCGAGUCCCCGUGGGGAGAUGGUGGCGGGAUAUAAAUAAAGUUUUAUAUUAUUAUUA